GACGGGACCGCACAGCGGUGGAUGAUGUGGUUUAAUUCGAUGCAACGCGAAAACCUUACCCACCUUUGACAUGUACGGAAUCCUUUAGAGAUAGAGGAGUGCUCGAAAGAGAGCCGUAACACAGGUGCUGCAUGGCUGUCGUCAGCUCGUGUCGUGAGAUGUUGGGUUAAGUCCCGCAACGAGCGCAACCCUUGUCAUUAGUUGCUACAUUCAGUUGGGCACUCUAAUGAGACUGCCGGUGACAAACCGGAGGAAGGUGGGGAUGACGUCAAGUCCUCAUGGCCCUUAUAGGUGGGGCUACACACGUCAUACAAUGGAUGGUACAAAGGGUCGCCAACCCGCGAGGGGGAGCCAAUCCCAUAAAGCCAUUCGUAGUCCGGAUCGCAGUCUGCAACUCGACUGCGUGAAGUCGGAAUCGCUAGUAAUCGUGGAUCAGAAUGUCACGGUGAAUACGUUCCCGGGUCUU
RNAcentral lists this ribosomal RNA (466 nucleotides) under uncultured Acidovorax sp. RNAcentral's name for it is "bacterial SSU rRNA". It matches the Rfam family "Bacterial small subunit ribosomal RNA", at positions 917 to 1381 of the family's 1533-position model. Lineage: Bacteria; Pseudomonadati; Pseudomonadota; Betaproteobacteria; Burkholderiales; Comamonadaceae. The record is from RNAcentral.